Molecule: non-coding RNA, 604 nt
Organism: Drosophila virilis
Lineage: Eukaryota; Metazoa; Arthropoda; Insecta; Diptera; Drosophilidae
Source: RefSeq, a predicted model, not a curated record
AUGGCAUUAAUAAAUAUCCCCACAGGCUGUCAUCAAAGAGAAUCAGUUAUUCGAAAGUGAGCGAGAGAGACAGAGACCAAGUGGGCAGCAGAGAAUAACAGAGUAACUGAUCAUAUAAGUGUGUGUAAAAAGAUAAAGGCCUUGCAUUGUUGUCGUGUGGUAAUUAAAUCGCAAGAAGCUGAUAAUGAUGCAGCCAACACAAGCGUAGUCGGGCAACAGCAAAAGGGCUUCUCCGCUCCGGACUCAUACUCACAAUUACAGACCCAAAUAUGCCCUCUAGGAAAUUAUUCAUGAUAACACAGAUUGCAUUGAUUGAUUGCGCGCGCGCUGGACCCGACUCCGGCUCGGGCCACAGUUGCCCUCCUGGUAGCUGGCACUCUCUCAGCCUGAGUUAUUUGAGCUAUUAAAUGUCUGUGAUUUGCCCAUAAGUUACUGUUGCGAUCUCUAGAUCAAUUGUUGGCAGCCCAACCGCUGCCACAUGUGCCUGUGCAUCUGCGGUUACUGUGCUCAAUACCACUUGGGUUCAUCUCAUUUUAAGGCAAAUUAUAAUACAUAUAUUUAUCUAAUUGAACGAAUAGAAAAAUGGACAUUCCAUAAUUCUCAA